RNAcentral lists this ribosomal RNA (335 nucleotides) under uncultured Anaerolineaceae bacterium. RNAcentral's name for it is "bacterial SSU rRNA". It matches the Rfam family "Bacterial small subunit ribosomal RNA", at positions 1035 to 1382 of the family's 1533-position model. The record is from RNAcentral. Lineage: Bacteria; Bacillati; Chloroflexota; Anaerolineae; Anaerolineales; Anaerolineaceae.
CAGGUGCUGCAUGGCUGUCGUCAGCUCGUGUCGUGAGAUGUUCGGUUAAGUCCGCUAACGAGCGCAACCCUCGCUGUGUGUUACAAGUGUCACACGGAACUGCCGGUCAUAAACCGGAGGAAGGUGGGGAUGACGUCAAGUCAGCAUGGCCUUUAUAUCCUGGGCUACACACACGCUACAAUGGGAAGGGACAAUAGGUUGCGAAGCCGCGAGGUGGAGCCAAUCCAGCAAAACUUCCCUCAGUUCAGAUUGCAGGCUGCAACUCGCCUGCAUGAAGUUGGAGUUGCUAGUAAACGCAGGUCAGCCAUACUGCGUUGAAUACGUUCCCGGGGCUU